UUCAUUAAAAAAUUAGCGCCAAAACGACCUAGUAUUGAAAAAAUGUUAAAAUUAUACACAGUCAAAUACACAUAAAUAUGGCCGAGGGUUAUAUUGCGGUUUGACUGGCACUUGAAGGGUUGACCUGUGGGUUUUUGAGUUCGCAGAUUAAUUUGCAAAAAAAAACCACAUUGAGGGUUUUUUUGCAGAAAACCCAAAAUACUUAAAGGGUUCAUAUGUAAGGACUCCGACCAUAUAGGACGACGACCUACAACAAUGCUACACUUUUACAAUAUAUAGUUAAUGUAUUGUUUUUGGGCUAUUUACUACAACAAAGACAUUACUGAUUAUAUGUCAGAUUCGCUUACUAUACGAUUUCUAGAAUAUAGAGAAGUGAAAAAACCCCAAGGUUUCAAAUUCGAAGUUUCUCUAUAUGUUUAAGUGUAUAUAUUAUACAUAUUAACUCAAAUCAAACAUAAAUAAUCUUGCCUAAUCUAAUAAAAAGCUAACUGACCUUUCCGACGUCUUAUAUUGUUAUAGGAACACAAGAUUUUAUUAUUCAAAAGGAAAAAUGUUAUUGUUGUUAGAAGAUAAAUAUGGAAAUUGGAUGAUUAUUCAGCUUGGACACUUGUCCUUCUUUCCUUGUCAGUUUUGCACCAUCACCAUUGCACGUGUUAGUCCAAUGGUUCUGUCUUUUUGUGUGUUUAACCAACUUCUCUUUUCUAUAUAAAGGGUUUCAUGUUCACUUGUAAUAAUAUAUAUGAGCAAUUAGUUUUACCUAUGUCCCUCCCUCAUAACAAACAAAAACAUCACUUUCAUCUCUCCCUCUCUCCCACUAUCGUUUCCUUCUUCUUUCUUAUAUACUAAACACAUAAAAGAAUAAUAUAAUUAAUAUUCAGAUAUAUAAAUACCUCACCUUUAUUACACAACACAUUAUCAGUACGAGCUCUCAUAUACCGGUGAAGUCAAUCAAUCCGGAAGCUCUAACCAACCGAAGCUUAUCAAUCCGAAAGUUCUUAAACCAGCCGAGGCGCUGCCUUUCCCGACUGAUCGUUAUGGUAGGCUAUGCCUUCACGAUCAGAGAAACACGUUGUUGGACCCAAUUUUGGCCAAUACCAUAAUGAGCCACGAUCAAAGGCAUGGACCUUAAAGGACCGGAGCACGUAGCAAGAAUACGAGCUCGAGAAGGAGUCGCCGAGGUCGCGGAGAUCGUGCAAUCGUGGAGCUACCACAGAGAUCUCGAAGUCGACGUACUAUAAAGGAAGAGGAGUGGAAACAGAGGAGAACACGUUGAAAACCCUAGAGAGAGCUACACAUUUACAUCGAUCUUGUUGUCUUCCCACUUUUAGAUUCUUUCUUUACCGAUCUCGUUUGUAUCACUCGAUCUAGUUCAAUUCAUUGUAUUCGAUCUUAUUCAUCAAUAAAGUCCAUUUUCACC
Molecule: long non-coding RNA, 1417 nt
Organism: Brassica napus (rape)
Lineage: Eukaryota; Viridiplantae; Streptophyta; Magnoliopsida; Brassicales; Brassicaceae
Exons: 2
Source: RefSeq, a predicted model, not a curated record